AAAGAAACCAACAGGGAUUGCCCCAGUAACGGCGAGUGAAGCGGCAAGAGCUCAAAUUUGAAAGCUGGCUCCUUCGGGGUCCGCAUUGUAAUUUGCAGAGGAUGCUUCGGGAGCGGUCCCCAUCUAAGUGCCCUGGAACGGGACGUCAUAGAGGGUGAGAAUCCCGUAUGGGAUGGGGUGUCCGCGCCCGUGUGAAGCUCCUUCGACGAGUCGAGUUGUUUGGGAAUGCAGCUCUAAAUGGGUGGUAAAUUUCAUCUAAAGCUAAAUAUUGGCCGGAGACCGAUAGCGCACAAGUAGAGUGAUCGAAAGAUGAAAAGCACUUUGAAAAGAGAGUUAAAAAGCACGUGAAAUUGUUGAAAGGGAAGCGCUUGCGACCAGACUCGCUCGCGGGGUUCAGCCGGCAUUCGUGCCGGUGUACUUCCCCGCGGGCGGGCCAGCGUCGGUUUGGGCGGUCGGUCAAAGGCCCUCGGAAGGUAACGCCCCUAGGGGCGUCUUAUAGCCGAGGGUGCAAUGCGACCUGCCUAGACCGAGGAACGCGCUUCGGCUCGGACGCUGGCAUAAUGGUCGUAAGCGAC
Molecule: ribosomal RNA, 575 nt
Filed under: Penicillium aurantiogriseum
Lineage: Eukaryota; Fungi; Ascomycota; Eurotiomycetes; Eurotiales; Aspergillaceae
Description: eukaryotic LSU rRNA
Rfam family: Eukaryotic large subunit ribosomal RNA
Source: RNAcentral